UAGGUAGAGACGCUGAAGCACGCUAUGUGUCCUCUAUUUGAUAGACUUAGUCAAUAGGUAGAGACGCUGAAGCACGCUAUGUGUCCUCUAUUUGAUAGACUUAGUCAAUAGGUAGAGACGCUGAAGCACGCUAUGUGUCCUCUAUUUGAUAGACUUAGUCAAUAGGUAGAGACGCUGAAGCACGCUAUGUGUCCUCUAUUUGAUAGACUUAGUCAAUAGGUAGAGACGCUGAAGCACGCUAUGUGUCCUCUAUUUGAUAGACUUAGUCAAUAGGUAGAGACGCUAAAGCACGCUAUAUGUCCU
Molecule: long non-coding RNA, 303 nt
Organism: Dreissena polymorpha
Lineage: Eukaryota; Metazoa; Mollusca; Bivalvia; Myida; Dreissenidae
Exons: 4
Source: RefSeq, a predicted model, not a curated record